CUCGGCUCACAAAUUGCAACUCGCUAAUUCAAACCCUGUAUAGGCUUCGUUCACUUGUGUGCCCCCCCCCCCUGCCACUUCCAAAAACACUCCAGUCACUGUGAACCUGGUGUGAACCUGGUGUGAACAAUUUUUGAGCACAUAUCGUUUGGUAUCCUGCUCAAUCACCACGCCUUGGGCUAAAUCACAACUUCCUCAGUGGCUAGAUCACAAACUACUGUAUAGCUACAUCACCAGAUACCCUUGAAAAUGAUGGUCUUGGCUAAUAUUAAAUGUGGAUGUGUUGCAUGUCAAUAUUAAAACAAUAACAUGAAAAUAAAUAUCUUAUACAUACGUGUUAACAUGAUCCAAAUGCCAUUUUGUCCUAUUAUUUUCCCACGCAUUUUCCCACUCUUCGAUCGUUCUUAAACGCUUUGCCAUUCUAAUUGAAGUAAUUUUCUAUUCCACUGCUCACGCCAGAGGACUACACUACGCAAGGCAAAUUUCACUAUUUCUCAGUAAAGGUGUCUCUUCUCCGCAGAGGCUUUCAAAGAAUAUGAAGGAAUUGAAAUUGCGCUAGAACUAGAACUAGAAGGUAUCUGGUAUGAAG
Non-coding RNA from Paramuricea clavata, 589 nucleotides. The record is from the annotation of a GenBank genome assembly. NCBI's taxonomy places the organism in Eukaryota, Metazoa, Cnidaria, Anthozoa, Malacalcyonacea, Plexauridae.